AAGGUAGUAACUCAAUUGGAAGAGUAACGGUCUCCAAAACCGCGAGUUGUGGGUUCAAAUCCUACCUACCUUG
Molecule: transfer RNA, 73 nt
Filed under: Candidatus Zinderia insecticola CARI
Lineage: Bacteria; Pseudomonadati; Pseudomonadota; Betaproteobacteria; Burkholderiales; Oxalobacteraceae
Description: tRNA-Trp (CCA) (tRNA-Trp-CCA-1-1)
Rfam family: tRNA
About the family: Transfer RNA (tRNA) molecules are approximately 80 nucleotides in length. Their secondary structure includes four short double-helical elements and three loops (D, anti-codon, and T loops).
Source: Rfam by way of RNAcentral